This 405-nucleotide ribosomal RNA is filed under the name uncultured prokaryote. Its description in RNAcentral is "bacterial SSU rRNA". It matches the Rfam family "Bacterial small subunit ribosomal RNA", at positions 355 to 774 of the family's 1533-position model. The record is from RNAcentral.
UGGGGAAUAUUGGGCAAUGGGCGCAAGCCUGACCCAGCAACGCCGCGUGAGGGAAGAAGGCUUUCGGGUUGUAAACCUCUGUCCUUGGUGACGAAAAAAAUGACGGUAGCCAAGGAGGAAGCCCCGGCUAACUACGUGCCAGCAGCCGCGGUAAUACGUCGGGGGCGAGCGUUGUCCGGAAUUACUGGGCGUAAAGGGUGCGUAGGUGGCCUUUUAAGGUGGAUGUGAAAUCCCCGAGCUUAACUGGGGUGGUGCAUCUAAUACUGGAGGGCUAGAGUGCAGGAGAGGGAAGCGGAAUUCCUAGUGUAGCGGUGAAAUGCGUAGAUAUUAGGAGGAACACCAGUGGCGAAGGCGGCUUUCUGGACUGGAACUGACACUGAGGCGCGAAAGCGUGGGGAGCAAACA